AUUGAACGCUGGCGGCAUGCUUUACACAUGCAAGUCGAACGGUAACAGGCCGCAAGGUGCUGACGAGUGGCGAACGGGCGAGUAAUGCAUCGGAACGUGCCCAGUCGUGGGGGAUAACUACUCGAAAGAGUAGCUAAUACCGCAUACGAUCUAUGGAUGAAAGCGGGGGACCGUAAGGCCUCGCGCGAUUGGAGCGGCCGAUGUCAGAUUAGGUAGUUGGUGGGGUAAAGGCUCACCAAGCCAACGAGCUGUAGCUGGUCUGAGAGGACGACCAGCCACACUGGGACUGAGACACGGCCCAGACUCCUACGGGAGGCAGCAGUGGGGAAUUUUGGACAAUGGGCGCAAGCCUGAUCCAGCAAUGCCGCGUGCAGGAAGAAGGCCUUCGGGUUGUAAACUGCUUUUGUACGGAACGAAACGGCUCUGGUUAAUACCCGGGGCUAAUGACGGUACCGGAAGAAUAAGCACCGGCUAACUACGUG
This 482-nucleotide ribosomal RNA is filed under the name uncultured bacterium. RNAcentral's name for it is "partial 16S ribosomal RNA". It matches the Rfam family "Bacterial small subunit ribosomal RNA", at positions 30 to 507 of the family's 1533-position model. The record is from RNAcentral.